Molecule: ribosomal RNA, 495 nt
Filed under: uncultured bacterium
Lineage: Bacteria
Description: bacterial SSU rRNA
Rfam family: Bacterial small subunit ribosomal RNA
Source: RNAcentral
GAUCCUGGCUCAGAUUGAACGCUGGCGGCAUGCCUUACACAUGCAAGUCGAACGGCAGCGGGCCUUCGGGUGCCGGCGAGUGGCGAACGGGUGAGUCAUGCAUCGGAACGUGCCAUUGAGUGGGGGAUAACGUAGCGAAAGUUGCGCUAAUACCGCAUAUUCUGUGAGCAGGAAAGCAGGGGACCGCAAGGCCUUGCGCUCUUUGAGCGGCCGAUGUCAGAUUAGCUAGUUGGUGAGGUAAAGGCUUACCAAGGCGACGAUCUGUAGCGGGUCUGAGAGGAUGAUCCGCCACACUGGAACUGAGACACGGUCCAGACUCCUACGGGAGGCAGCAGUGGGGAAUUUUGGACAAUGGGGGCAACCCUGAUCCAGCCAUGCCGCGUGAGUGAAGAAGGCCUUCGGGUUGUAAAGCUCUUUCGGCCGGGAAGAAAUCGCAUGGGUGAAUACCCUGUGUGGAUGACGGUACCGGAACAAGAAGCACCGGCUAACUACGUG